RNAcentral lists this ribosomal RNA (396 nucleotides) under uncultured bacterium. RNAcentral describes it as "partial 16S ribosomal RNA". It matches the Rfam family "Bacterial small subunit ribosomal RNA", at positions 523 to 918 of the family's 1533-position model. The record is from RNAcentral.
AUACGUAGGUGGCAAGCGUUAUCCGGAUUUACUGGGUGUAAAGGGCGCGUAGGCGGGGGUGCAAGUCAGAUGUGAAAUCUAUGGGCUUAACUCAUAAACUGCAUUUGAAACUGUAUCUCUUGAGUGCUGGAGAGGUAGACGGAAUUCCUUGUGUAGCGGUGAAAUGCGUAGAUAUAAGGAAGAACACCAGUGGCGAAGGCGGUCUACUGGACAGUAACUGACGCUGAGGCGCGAAAGCGUGGGGAGCAAACAGGAUUAGAUACCCUGGUAGUCCACGCUGUAAACGAUGAAUACUAGGUGUGGGGGGACUGACCCCCUCCGUGCCGCAGUUAACACAAUAAGUAUUCCACCUGGGGAGUACGGCCGCAAGGUUGAAACUCAAAUGAAUCGGCGGGG